CGCCAUCUUGGCUGGUUGUGUCUGGCUUCAAGCGCGCUGAACAGAUCCGGAAACCUCUGUCCGAGAUAAACUGACAGUUUUAAAAGCAUGGGUCAACUUCUCCGAAGCAAGUUGGAACAUCUUGUCUGGCUCAUA
Long non-coding RNA from Carassius auratus (goldfish), 135 nucleotides. RefSeq lists it as uncharacterized. NCBI's taxonomy places the organism in Eukaryota, Metazoa, Chordata, Actinopteri, Cypriniformes, Cyprinidae. The transcript is spliced from 2 exons. The record is from RefSeq and is a predicted model, not a curated record.